AUGGAAUCCUUUACUUUCUUAUAAGAAGCCUGUCAAAGCUCCAAUGUUAUCAUCGUCUGGUACGUCAAAAGAAUACGAUGGAUGCAAAACCAACUCUCUGUGCAAGAAUAAAUUGUUGAAUCUGAGUCUGUUUUCUUCAAAUCUGAACUCCGAGAAGAGAGAAGAGGGGACACUUUGGUUAAGAUGGCAGGCGAUAUAUCAAUAUCUUGGGUUGAGGAUGGCCCUAAUUUGGUCAAGAUAGUAGAGGACAUUCACAGAUCUGCAGAUAAGUUGGGAAGAUCCAUUGGGUAUUGAAGCUCUCAUUUUUCGAAAUUUUGAGGGGUCAUUUUUGGAAAAAAUGAAACAUGAAGUCAAUUGGUGGAAAGAACAAUACAUUGAAGAUUUUGUUGUAGUAGACAAGAUUCAUAGAUGUAUUUUUCACAUCCUUUCCACGAUGAUUAAUGAACAUCGGAUGAACUUUUUUUUGGAGUGGGGAUUCUUGGCAUUUCUUGAUUCACAAGAGCUGGAAUUUGGAGAUUCCUUUCCUUCUACCAUCAUGAAUGCCAUCUACUCUGCUUCAAUUCACAUUGCCAUCUUUUCAAAAAGAUUGUGAUAAAGAGAUUCUACCAUCAUGAAUGUCAUUUGUUCUGCAUCAGUUCUCAUCGCCAUCUUAUUAACGAGAAGUAUCUCUUUCUACUAAAUUUGUGAUCUUCUCAAAAAAUACCAUGUAAUUUUGGUUGUCAUAUGCUAUGUUUUAGUUGAAAUAAUCAACUUCUCAAGUAUAACGUCUAGCCUGCUUCUAAUUCUGCAUCAAUUCAAAUUGUCAUCUACUCAAAAGAAUGUCAACUGCUAUGCUUCAGCUCUAAAGUUAUGUGGAUGACUCCUCAUGCUGAAGGGUCCACCUUUUGUCUUAAAAAUUUAAGAUUACUAGUCAUUGUUUUA
Cryptomeria japonica (Japanese cedar) is the source of this 921-nucleotide long non-coding RNA. RefSeq lists it as uncharacterized. The transcript has 3 exons. The record is from RefSeq and is a predicted model, not a curated record. NCBI's taxonomy places the organism in Eukaryota, Viridiplantae, Streptophyta, Pinopsida, Cupressales, Cupressaceae.